CGGGUGAGUAACACGUGAGUAACCUGCCCUUGACUCUGGGAUAAGCCUGGGAAACUGGGUCUAAUACCGGAUACGACUAUCUGACGCAUGUCAUGGUGGUGGAAAGCUUUUGCGGUUUUGGAUGGACUCGCGGCCUAUCAGCUUGUUGGUGGGGUAAUGGCCUACCAAGGCGACGACGGGUAGCCGGCCUGAGAGGGUGACCGGCCACACUGGGACUGAGCACGGCCCAG
Molecule: ribosomal RNA, 230 nt
Filed under: uncultured bacterium
Lineage: Bacteria
Description: partial 16S ribosomal RNA
Rfam family: Bacterial small subunit ribosomal RNA
Source: RNAcentral